RNAcentral lists this long non-coding RNA (350 nucleotides) under Ictidomys tridecemlineatus (thirteen-lined ground squirrel). Its description in RNAcentral is "lncRNA (ENSSTOG00000029333.1)". Lineage: Eukaryota; Metazoa; Chordata; Mammalia; Rodentia; Sciuridae. The record is from RNAcentral.
CCUGAGAGAUCUUCCUGUAAUCCAGAUGGUGGAAAGACCACCUCCCAGUUGGACAGAGGAUGCCUGAGACUGGAUUCAUUGCUUUCAAAGUUCCUUUGCAAAAGGUGGGAAUCUGAAGGCAAGGAGUGCCCUUUUUCUCUUUGGUAGCUGUGUAGGCCACAUGGCCAUCAAAGAGUCGAGUUGUUGUGGCCAUCAGAGGAAUAACAUGGACUUCUCAGAGUGAGGGUAUAAUGAAGCUGUGACACUUUGUGGUGAGGAGCUUUUUUUCUGGGAGAUUUUUUGGGGAUGUAGCUCCUUAUAAUCAUGCUACAAUUGGCCUCUGUAAGUUAUGAGAUGACAUUGACUCUGCC